CCUACGGGUGGCAGCAGUAGGGAAUAUUGCUCAAUGGGGGAAACCCUGAAGCAGCAACGCAGCGUGGAGGAUGAAGGUUUUCGGAUUGUAAACUCCUUUUAUUAGGGAAGUAAAAUACUGUAUCUGACGAAUAAUCACCGUCUAACUUCGUGCCAGCAGCCGCGGUAAUACGGAGGGUGCAAGCGUUAUUCGGAAGUACUGGGCGUAAAGAGAGCGUAGUAGGAAUAGCAAGUCAGAUGUGAAAUCCUAUGGCUCAACCAUAGAACUGCAUUUGAAACUGUCAGUCUAGAGUACAGUAGAGGUAGGCGGAAUUCUUGGUGUAGCGGUGAAAUGCGUAGAGAUCACGAAGAAUACCGAUUGCGAAGGCGGCUUACUGGACUGUAACUGACGCUGAGGCGCGAAAGCGUGGGGAGCAAACAGGAUUAGAUACCCUUGUAGUC
This 440-nucleotide ribosomal RNA is filed under the name uncultured bacterium. RNAcentral's name for it is "partial 16S ribosomal RNA". It matches the Rfam family "Bacterial small subunit ribosomal RNA", at positions 338 to 795 of the family's 1533-position model. The record is from RNAcentral.